CUACUCUUGACAUCCAGAGAACUUUCCAGAGAUGGAUUGGUGCCUUCGGGAACUCUGAGACAGGUGCUGCAUGGCUGUCGUCAGCUCGUGUUGUGAAAUGUUGGGUUAAGUCCCGCAACGAGCGCAACCCUUAUCCUUGUUUGCCAGCGAGUAAUGUCGGGAACUCCAGGGAGACUGCCGGUGAUAAACCGGAGGAAGGUGGGGACGACGUCAAGUCAUCAUGGCCCUUACGAGUAGGGCUACACACGUGCUACAAUGGCGCAUACAGAGGGCGGCCAACUUGCGAGAGUGAGCGAAUCCCAAAAAGUGCGUCGUAGUCCGGAUCGGAGUCUGCAACUCGACUCCGUGAAGUCGGAAUCGCUAGUAAUCGUGGAUCAGAAUGCCACGGUGAAUACGUUCCC
Molecule: ribosomal RNA, 401 nt
Filed under: Vibrio xuii
Lineage: Bacteria; Pseudomonadati; Pseudomonadota; Gammaproteobacteria; Vibrionales; Vibrionaceae
Description: bacterial SSU rRNA
Rfam family: Bacterial small subunit ribosomal RNA
Source: RNAcentral